AGAUAGUCAGAGGGGGUAGAAUCCACGUGUAGCAGUGAAUGCGUAGAGAUGUGAGGAAUACCAAUGGCGAAGGCAGCCCCCUGGGAUAAUAUGNACGCUCAUGCACGAAAGCGUGGGGAGCAAACAGGAUUAGAUACCCUGGUAGUCCACGCCCUAAACGAUGUCUACUAGUUGUUGGUGGAGUAAAAUCCAUGAGUAACGCAGCUAACGCGUGAAGUAGACCGCCUGGGGAGUACGGUCGCAAGAUUAAAACUCAAAUGAAUUGACGGGGGCCCGCACAAGCGGUGGAUUAUGUGGAUUAAUUCGAUGCAACGCGAAAAACCUUACCUGGCCUUGACAUGUACCGAAUUUACCAGAGAUGGUUUAGUGCUCGAAAGAGAACGGUAACACAGGUGCUGCAUGGCUGUCGUCAGCUCGCGUCGUGAGAUGUUGGGUUAAGUCCCGCAACGAGCGCAACCCUUGCCAUUAAUUGCCAUCAUUUAGUUGGGCACUUUAAUGGGACUGCCGGUGACAAACCGGAGGAAGGUGGGGAUGACGUCAAGUCCUCAUGGCCCUUAUGGCCAGGGCUUCACACGUAAUACAAUGGUCGGUACAGAGGGUUGCCAAGCCGCGAGGUGGAGCCAAUCCCAGAAAGCCGAUCGUAGUCCGGAUUGUAGUCUGCAACUCGACUACAUGAAGUCGGAAUCGCUAGUAAUCGCGGAUCAGCAUGUCGCGGUGAAUACGUUCCCGGGCCUUGUACACACCGCCC
Molecule: ribosomal RNA, 748 nt
Filed under: uncultured bacterium
Lineage: Bacteria
Description: bacterial SSU rRNA
Rfam family: Bacterial small subunit ribosomal RNA
Source: RNAcentral